This is a long non-coding RNA of Oxyura jamaicensis (ruddy duck), 676 nucleotides long. RefSeq lists it as uncharacterized. The record is from RefSeq and is a predicted model, not a curated record. NCBI's taxonomy places the organism in Eukaryota, Metazoa, Chordata, Aves, Anseriformes, Anatidae. The transcript is spliced from 3 exons.
UUUUUUUUUUUUUUUUGCUUCGGGGAAAAAAAAGCUUUGAAGCGAUACGCAGCUGGAGCGACAGAGCUGCUGCUUCUGCGAAAGCGCCCGGACCUUCGGGAGAUGUCGGCGGCAGGAGUUUGCAGGGAUCGGUCCGUAGGUUCACCAAACGCCAGCAGCUGGGAAGGGGCAGUGUUGCACAGCGGGUGCUUUGUCCAGGCUUCGAGGAUUUUUUUCAUUAUAGAAAAACAUGAACCAGAAAACAGCGGUGGUAGCUAUCCUGAAGACAGAUCUUUGCUUGUGCACCAUCAACACAGCGAUGACACUGGCCUCAACAGUUACUGACAGCACAGGGCUGCCAUGGAAGGACUGAAAUCACCCUUCUGGUGAGGAUGCAAGGAGACAACGAAGAGCUUUAGCCUCAGCAAGUGAAGCAAGAUCUGGAGGAGUGCACUGCUUUGACACCCCUACUGCAGCCACUCCUUUGGCUGCAGCUGUGAGAUGCAGCUGAUGUAGAGUCCUUCCCCAUGGACAUCCUUAGCUAACACAGACAGCAUCCAGAAUGCAUGAUUUAACCCUCUGUGCCAUUUCACCUGGAACUGAAUGAUAUUUUGCCACCAGUAUAUUGAACACUGUACUCUUAAUAAACCAGUAGGUUAAUAAUUUUUUUUUUUUUAAUAAAAAUAAAAAAACUUCA